UACCCGCAGCACAAGUGGUGGUCAUUAUUAUUGGGCCUAAAGCGUCCGUAGCUGGCGUGUUAGAUGCCUGGGUAAAUCGAUGCGCUCAACGCAUCGAAUUCCGGGUAGACCGGCACGCUCGAGACCGGGAGAGGCGUAGGGUACUCGGGGGGUAGGGGUAAAAUCCUGUAAUCCUCCGGGGACGACCAGUGGCGAAGGCGCUACGCUAGAACGGCUCUGACAGUGAGGGACGAAGCCCUGGGGCGCAAACCGG
RNAcentral lists this ribosomal RNA (253 nucleotides) under uncultured bacterium. RNAcentral's name for it is "partial 16S ribosomal RNA". It matches the Rfam family "Archaeal small subunit ribosomal RNA", at positions 474 to 727 of the family's 1478-position model. The record is from RNAcentral.